GACGAACGCUGGCGGCGUGCCUAAUACAUGCAAGUCGAGCGAGCGGAACCAACAGAUUUACCUCGGUAAUGACGUUGGGAAAGCGAGCGGCGGAUGGGUGAGUAACACGUGGGGAACCUGCCCCUAAGUCUGGGAUACCAUUUGGAAACAGGUGCUAAUACCGGAUAUUAUUGUUACAUGGCAUCAUGUAGGAAUGAAAGGAUAAGAUUGCUAGAGGAGAGCUUUGCAUCCUAUUAGCUAGUUGGUAAGGUAGCGGCUUACCAAGGCGAUGAUAGGUAGCCGGCCUGAGAGGGUGGACGGCCACAAGGGGACUGAGAUACGGCCCUU
Molecule: ribosomal RNA, 327 nt
Filed under: uncultured bacterium
Lineage: Bacteria
Description: bacterial SSU rRNA
Rfam family: Bacterial small subunit ribosomal RNA
Source: RNAcentral